AUCAACAAAUAUUUGCUGACAAUCUGCUAGAUUGGAAGAACAGAACCAGGUCUUGGGGAAAACAAGGAUGAACCAGGAGCCCCCAAACAGCCCACUUAAAGUCAGGGCAGUUCCCAGGGAAUGGUCUCCAGGUCCUCAAUUACAAGGGUGAGGCCCCCAUCCCUGUGGUCCAAGACAGUCAUCACUGCAACUGCAGGCAGUAUGUGAGAAGGGAGAAAGAAGAGAACGGCCUUUCCUCUGUGUGCACUGGACCCAGAAGCUGACAUCAUUUGCCCUUCCUCUAAGUGCCCCAGACUGGGAAGCUGACAUCAUCUGCCCUUCCUCUAAGUGCACUUAACCCGGAAGUUCACACUAUCACUUGCGCUCACGCUCUUCUAGUCUGAUUUUGGACAUGUGGCUAUACUUAGUCACUCUGAGUCUGGGAAAUUUUGUUUUUAUUGGUGGCUGCAUGUCCAACUGAAAUUCCAAUCCUUUAGAAAUGGGGAAACUGAUACUGGGUUCAGUUCACAGUCUCAGCCAGAAGGCCUCUGCAGAAAGGCCACCGCUCCCCUGGUAGUACACUGGAGAAAUUCCCAAUCUGUGCCCUAGUCCCUGGGAAGGUCUGGAGCUACUACCAGAGGUCCAUACGUCCAGCUGGGCAGCAGGUGUGGCCCAGUGACUGUCGAGCACAUUAUGCAUGGAAGCAUUUCCAUUUUGCAGAGGACCAAGGAGCGUGAAACAGGUUGGAAUAGAGAAGUCAGGUUUAUGCAACCAAGUGAGGCAAAGCUGAGUCUCCACAUUGUGUACUUGUGUGUUUGUGGUUUGGCCCAAGGUUCAGGGUCUGGAACCUGCAUUCCUAUGCAGAAAGAGGAGGACCAAAAUGAUGGAAUUCAUGCCCAAAGCAUACGAGGUACGGGGAUGCAGGGCACGCACGAGAGGCUGGGACUUUAUCUGGUUCUUCUGAGGACUGUAUCAGCAGCAAAGAUAAGGAGCUUUCUGUCUGUCAACCUCAUCACUAUCACCGCCAGCAGUUACAUCACAAAAUGAGAACGCAAGCAACGCAGAAAUCUUUCCAACUAGCAGGAAGUACAGAAGAGCUUUCGUGGUAGAAAACCCACACUGUAGUAGGCAGAUGGUAAAUAGUUCCCCACAGAAAUCAAGGAAACAAAAAUAAAUAAAUAACUCUGGUGACACUGUAUUGUGUUGAGAAGGACACAGCUAUUAAUGCCACCACCUGUAGGGUUCUUGACCCUGGUUUUUGACCAUGGUUCUUUCAAGUGAUUUUCACGUGGUUUCAUUUCAUUCCUAUGAUAACCCAAGAAGUGGGCAGGAUAGACAUUAUUUUCCCCUUUCUGUAGAUGAGAAAACAGAGUUUCAGAUUAAGUGUCUUGGCCAAGGUUGAGAGGUUGGGAAGAGGUCCAACUGGGGCCAGAACCCAGAUCUAAAUGUCAGGCUCUGCUACGGUGUCUGGAGACUGGGGAAGUUUGGGGACCACAUGGUCAGGUGAUCUGUGUGGGUUAUUCCCCUGGCACCCAUAGCCAAGUGACAGCAUACAGCACUCCCAGGGAAAGACUCUAGUUGGUUCUGCUGGAGUCACACGCCUGUUGUUUGGAUUGAACACUGAUAACAACAGGAAGAGAUACUGUGACUGAUCAGGCCUAGAUCAUAUAGCUCAUUCCAUGGGCCCUAUUUCCAGAAGGGUCACAGGAAACCCUAAAAGGCAGAAAAAGAUUCUUACCAUGACCCACUACACUUAACUAUCUAAAAAAUAAUUCUAAU
Long non-coding RNA from Capra hircus (goat), 1758 nucleotides. Lineage: Eukaryota; Metazoa; Chordata; Mammalia; Artiodactyla; Bovidae. The record is from Ensembl.